This 507-nucleotide ribosomal RNA is filed under the name uncultured bacterium. RNAcentral describes it as "partial 16S ribosomal RNA". It matches the Rfam family "Bacterial small subunit ribosomal RNA", at positions 28 to 507 of the family's 1533-position model. The record is from RNAcentral.
GACGAACGCUGGCGGCGUGCCUAAUACAUGCAAGUCGAACGCAUUUUCUUUCACCGUAGCUUGCUACACCGAAAGAAAAUGAGUGGCGAACGGGUGAGUAACACGUGGGUAACCUGCCCAUCAGCGGGGGAUAACACUUGGAAACAGGUGCUAAUACCGCAUAAUUCCAUUUACCGCAUGGUAGAUGGGUGAAAGGCGCUUUUGCGUCACUGAUGGAUGGACCCGCGGUGCAUUAGCUAGUUGGUGGGGUAACGGCCUACCAAGGCUGCGAUGCAUAGCCGACCUGAGAGGGUGAUCGGCCACACCGGGACUGGGACACGGCCCAGGCUCCUACGGGGGGCAGCAGUAGGGAAUCUUCGGCAAUGGACGCAAGUCUGACCGAGCAACGCCGCGUGGGUGGAGGAGGUUUUCGGAUCGUAAAACUCUGUUGUUAGAGAAGAACAAGGAUGAGGGUGGAAAGUUCAUCCCUUGACGGUAUCUAACCAGAAAGCCACGGCUAACUACGUG